This 668-nucleotide ribosomal RNA is filed under the name uncultured bacterium. RNAcentral's name for it is "bacterial SSU rRNA". It matches the Rfam family "Bacterial small subunit ribosomal RNA", at positions 28 to 691 of the family's 1533-position model. The record is from RNAcentral.
GAUUAACGCUAGCGGCAGGCCUAAUACAUGCAAGUCGAACGGUAACAGGGUAGCAAUACCGCUGACGAGUGGCGAACGGGUGCGUAACACGUAUGCAACUUACCUCUGACUGGGGGAAUAGCCCCGAGAAAUCGGGAUUAAUACCCCAUAACAUUAUCGAUGGGCAUCUAUUGAUAAUCAAACUCCGGUGGUCAGAGAUAGGCAUGCGGGACAUUAGCUAGUUGGUGAGGUAACGGCUCACCAAGGCUACGAUGUCUAGGGGGUCUGAGAGGAUGAUCCCCCACACUGGUACUGAGACACGGACCAGACUCCUACGGGAGGCAGCAGUAAGGAAUAUUGGUCAAUGGACGCAAGUCUGAACCAGCCAUGCCGCGUGCAGGAUGACUGCCCUAUGGGUUGUAAACUGCUUUUAUACGGGAAGAAACCCCUCUACGUGUAGAGGGCUGACGGUACCGUGAGAAUAAGGAUCGGCUAACUCCGUGCCAGCAGCCGCGGUAAUACGGAGGAUCCAAGCGUUAUCCGGAUUUAUUGGGUUUAAAAGGGUGCGUAGGCGGAUUAUUAAGUCAGUGGUGAAAGCCUGCAGCUUAAACUGCAGAACUGCCAUUGAUACUGGUAAUCUUGAGUACAUUUGAGGCGGGCGGAAUAUGUCAUGUAGCGGUGAAAUGCUU